GAUGAACGCUGGCGGCGUGCCUAAUACAUGCAAGUCGAACGAAACUUCUUUAUCACCGAGUGCUUGCACUCACCGAUAAAGAGUUGAGUGGCGAACGGGUGAGUAACACGUGGGCAACCUGCCCAAAAGAGGGGGAUAACACUUGGAAACAGGUGCUAAUACCGCAUAACCAUAGUUACCGCAUGGUAACUAUGUAAAAGGUGGCUAUACUACCGCUUUUGGAUGGGCCCGCGGCGCAUUAGCUAGUUGGUAGGGUAAAGGCUUACCAAGGCAAUGAUGCGUAGCCGAAUUGAGAGGUUGAUCGGCCACAUUGGGACUGAGACACGGCCCAAACUCCUACGAGAGGCAGCAGUAGGGAAUCUACCACAAUGGGCGAAAGCCUGAUGGAGCAACGCCGCGUGGGUGAAGAAGGUCUUCGGAUCGUAAAACCCUGUUGUUAGAGAAGAAAGUGCGUGAGAGUAACUGUUCACGUUUCGACGGUAUCUAACCAGAAAGCCACGGCUAACUACGUG
RNAcentral lists this ribosomal RNA (512 nucleotides) under uncultured bacterium. RNAcentral describes it as "partial 16S ribosomal RNA". It matches the Rfam family "Bacterial small subunit ribosomal RNA", at positions 28 to 507 of the family's 1533-position model. The record is from RNAcentral.